RNAcentral lists this ribosomal RNA (453 nucleotides) under uncultured bacterium. RNAcentral describes it as "bacterial SSU rRNA". It matches the Rfam family "Bacterial small subunit ribosomal RNA", at positions 340 to 786 of the family's 1533-position model. The record is from RNAcentral.
UACGGAAGGCAGCAGUGGGGAAUAUUGCACAAUGGGCGCAAGCCUGAUGCAGCCAUGCCGCGUGUAUGAAGAAGGCCUUCGGGUUGUAAAGUACUUUCAGUCGUGAGGAAGGUGUUAAGGUUAAUAACCUUAGCAAUUGACGUUAGCGACAGAAGAAGCACCGGCUAACUCCGUGCCAGCAGCCGCGGUAAUACGGAGGGUGCGAGCGUUAAUCGGAAUUACCGGGCGUAAAGGGCACGCAGGCGGUUAAUUAAGUUGGAUGUGAAAUCCCCGGGCUUAACCUGGGAAUGGCAUCCAAGACUGGUUAGCUAGAGUCUUGUAGAGGGGGUAGAAUUCCAUGUGUAGCGGUGAAAUGCGUAGAGAUGUGGAGGAAUACCGGUGGCGAAGGCGGCCCCUGGACAAAGACUGACGCUCAUGUGCGAAAGCGUGGGGAGCAAACAGGGAUUAGAUACC